Molecule: long non-coding RNA, 697 nt
Filed under: Apteryx rowi (Okarito brown kiwi)
Lineage: Eukaryota; Metazoa; Chordata; Aves; Apterygiformes; Apterygidae
Description: lncRNA (ENSARWG00000015763.1)
Source: RNAcentral
GUGGCGCGCUGCGCGAAGGCCGCCCCCGAGGGCCGCGCGGGCAGCGAGGGCGUUAAACGCCUUUUGUUGCCAGCGCAUUAAUCUUAGACGUAAUCCCGCUGUUUUUGUCUUAUGCUUAGCGUACAGGUUUUUCUCAUACUGAGAUUUAAUGUUUUUUCUGAUGCUCUUAAAAAUGACUUUACAAAUUUGCAGAGAUUGCAAAUACAAUUUUCUAGCCUCAAAAAUGGGGCUGUCAGACAAGGCCUUCACCCUUUUUAUCGUUUAAUUUAAAAGGAAAACGUAAUCGGGCGGUUAAGCCCGGCUAGCAAGCAUUUACAGCCUCUAGACCGGGGUGUCAAAGCUACAGCUGUGACAUAGACACCUGCCAGGAGAAUUCAUAUGGUCUGAGGUCCACUACCCACCCGCAGCAGUCUUUCAGGAGUUUCGUCUUUGAUUAGCUUGCUCUUACCUGGCAUCAGAACUGAUCAAGGAGUACUUCCCUGGGCACUCCGGAUCUUUUGGGCCACAUGAGGGAAGAGAAAGACAAGGAAGGACUCUUUAAGAGCAGACUGAUUUCAUUCCAGGAGGCAGGACCAGAAGCAGGUAGACUGCGAUAUUCUUCUCUCUGUUUGCAAUGUGGAUAUAUCUGCUUCAGUAUACACCGUUCUUUAGAAGUUAUCGACCUUGGAAAUAAUGUCUGCAGUCCCCUAGUUCUCCG